Molecule: ribosomal RNA, 499 nt
Filed under: uncultured Glomeromycotina
Lineage: Eukaryota; Fungi; Glomeromycota
Description: partial small subunit ribosomal RNA
Rfam family: Eukaryotic small subunit ribosomal RNA
Source: RNAcentral
CCAAUAGCGUAUAUUAAAGUUGUUGCAGUUAAAAAGCUCGUAGUUGAAUUUCGAGACCGGCUUACUGGUCGUGCUAUUGUGCGUACUGGUAUAAUCGGUUUCUCCUUUCUGACGAACUAUAAUGCCAUUAAUUUGGUGUUAUAGGGAACCAGGACUGUUACUUUGAAAAAAUUAGAGUGUUUAAAGCAGGCUCACGCUUGAAUACAUUAGCAUGGAAUAACGGAAUAGGACGUUUGAUUCUAUUUUGUUGGUUUCUAGGAUCGACGUAAUGAUUAAUAGGGAUAGUUGGGGGCAUUAGUAUUCAAUUGUCAGAGGUGAAAUUCUUGGAUUUAUUGAAGACUAACUACUGCGAAAGCAUUUGCCAAGGAUGUUUUCAUUAAUCAAGAACGAAAGUUAGGGGAUCGAAGACGAUCAGAUACCGUCGUAGUCUUAACCAUAAACUAUGCCGACUAGGGAUCGGAUGAUGUUAAUUUUUUAAUGACUCAUUCGGCGCCUUACG